UGGUUAUAUUCUGUACCGACUAUGGAGCGUGGAGGGGGGACGCGUAGGGUUAAGCGAGCUAGCUGAUGGAAGCGCUAGUCUAAGGGCGUAGAUUGGAGGGAAGGCAAAUCCACCUCUGUAUUUGAAACCCAAACAGGCUCUUUGAGUCCUUUUAGGACAAAGGGAGAAUCGCUGAUACCGUCGUGCCAAGAAAAGCCUCUAAGCAUAUCCAUAGUCGUCCGUACCGCAAACCGACACGGGUAGAUGAGAUGAGUAUUCUAAGGCGCGUGAAAGAACUCUGGUUAAGGAACUCUGCAAACUAGCACCGUAAGUUCGCGAUAAGGUGUGCCGCAACAAUGCGGUCUCAGCAAAGAGUCCCUCCCGACUGUUUACCAAAAACACAGCACUUUGCCAACUCGUAAGAGGAAGUAUAAGGUGUGACGCCUGCCCGGUGCUCGAAGGUUCAGAGGAUGCGUCAGUCGCGAGAUGAAACGUUGAAUUGAAGCCCGAGUAAACGGCGGCCGUAACUAUAACGGUCCUAAGGGAGCGAAAUUCCUUGUCGGUUAAAUACCGACCUGCAUGAAUGGCGUAACGAGAUGGGAGCUGUCUCAACCAGAGAUUCAGUGAAAUUGUAGUGGAAGUGAAAAUUCCUCCUACCCGCGGCAAGACGGAAAGACCCCGUGGACCUUU
This 669-nucleotide ribosomal RNA is filed under the name Helicobacter pylori. Its description in RNAcentral is "bacterial LSU rRNA". It matches the Rfam family "Bacterial large subunit ribosomal RNA", at positions 1428 to 2102 of the family's 2925-position model. The record is from RNAcentral. Lineage: Bacteria; Pseudomonadati; Campylobacterota; Epsilonproteobacteria; Campylobacterales; Helicobacteraceae.